Non-coding RNA from Rattus norvegicus (Norway rat), 644 nucleotides. The record is from RefSeq and is a predicted model, not a curated record. Lineage: Eukaryota; Metazoa; Chordata; Mammalia; Rodentia; Muridae.
UCUAGCUUAAGGGAGAUGGAGAAUGUAAAGGUUUCCACUUGUCACAUGAGACAUACGUGGAAUGGGCACCCUCAAAUCUGGUCAAUGUAAGGAAAGCUGUUUAACAGGCAAGCCAUGGCAAGUCUCAAUGACAUAAUCAUUAGGCCCUCCCUUAACCAUCUAUUGUAACCUGGAAAGCCGUAGAUUCUGUGAUGUCACAAGUGUUGUCAUGACUACAACUCCCUCUCAGAUAUCCCUUCAGUACCUCUAGGGUUUACUAAUUGAACUAUAAUUCAGAAUAAACAGCCAUUUGGGAGUAAAAACAAAGAGGAUGAAGAGAUCAGAUAUGGAGAGAAGGAAGCUGGUCUUCUUUCUUGCAAAACUCUCAAAUCUCAUCCUGGCUGACGAUGUAGAUUAGACCCAUCGGAUGAAAUGAAGAAUUAAAAAACUCUCCUGGGGAUGAAAAUGCCUCUGUUCUAAAGCUAAGGAUUCUGAUGGAAAAACCUCCACCAAAACACUGGAUGGUCAAUGGUGCUGGCAGCCAAAAACCAUGUCCUGAGUCUACCCUGCAAUCUCCAGAAGAGGUUUCAAAAUGUCAAACUUAACAAUUUUUUUGUGGCUUUGUCUUGUACCUUUUUAUUUUAAAUAAAGUGUGAUUUCUGUCA